RNAcentral lists this long non-coding RNA (705 nucleotides) under Anser brachyrhynchus (Pink-footed goose). RNAcentral's name for it is "lncRNA (ENSABRG00000004537.1)". The record is from RNAcentral. Lineage: Eukaryota; Metazoa; Chordata; Aves; Anseriformes; Anatidae.
GCCUAGUGCUGGAGAAACAGCAGAGAUGAAAAUUGCUGCCUGAUACUCAUAUAAUGAGCAGCUCACAGCAGGGCAGAGGAACAAGGAUGACACUGCAUGGCAAAAUAAAGCCUGAGCCAUUCAUUGCAUAUUAGCUUCUCUUCAAUUCAAAGAAACAUGAAUCCCCUCCACAGCUAUUAUAAAUAAAAGUAACAUUACAGAAAUUGCUAUGUCAGGUAUAAUGUAGGUUGCACUUUUUCUCCCAAGUUCUCUUCUCUGGUUAGCUAUUCUUUAGCUCUGAAGAAUCUGAUGGGCUGUCCUAACAUGCACACUGAUGUAAUAAUGCAAUUACACUGUUACUAACCACCUGAAUAUAGAACACAACAUGCAUAAGUGAGAAAGUUGCUAAUACUCAACUACUGCCUGCCCUGUUAAGCAACUGCUGAUUCAAGAUAACAUAUUUGCCACUAAGCUUCCUAAGAAAUGUUUGGUGAGUUCUGCAGUUCAGGAGAGAACAGCAAGAAAGAUAAAACCACAGGGAUAAUCUAAUGUUUGUUUGGGGAUCUGGUGAUGUACAUGUCUUCCUGUCAUCAGAAAAAAAGCAGACCAAGAAUCACAAUGACUUACCACACUGUCUUGCUCAGCAAAUUUUUUUUUAGGAUAAAGUGCAAACACUGAAAAUGCUUAGCGCUUAUAUAUCAAGCAAUGCCGUUGUAAAUAUUAGAA